Molecule: small nuclear RNA, 141 nt
Organism: Petromyzon marinus (sea lamprey)
Lineage: Eukaryota; Metazoa; Chordata; Hyperoartia; Petromyzontiformes; Petromyzontidae
Gene: U4
Rfam family: U4 spliceosomal RNA
About the family: U4 small nuclear RNA (U4 snRNA) is a component of the major U2-dependent spliceosome. The structure of U4 snRNA from yeast and human has been reported.
Source: Ensembl
AGCUUUGCGCAGUGGCAGUAUCGUAGCCAAUGAGGUUUAUCCGAGGCGCGAUUAUUGCUAAUUGAAAACUUUUCCCAAUACCCCGCCACGGCGACUUGAAAUAUAGUCGCUGUCGGCAAUUUUUGCAAGCUCCUUCGGGAG